GAAGACUGGCAGGGGGUAGCCGAGAACUUGGCGAACCCGGCCGGGCUGUGUAUUUGGAUUUUGCUACUGCCGGACUGUUGAUGGCUAAUCCCGGGGAAGCGCCUGGCAUUGAGCCAAGCACACAGUGAGCAAGCAAUAAAUGGUGGUCAUUUAAAAGGCCUCACAGCCUUUUAAAAACAAAGAUAUUCCAGAGAGAUUGACAGCGAGAGAGGGAACACAAGCAGGGGGAGUGGGAGACGGA
Zalophus californianus (California sea lion) is the source of this 241-nucleotide long non-coding RNA. RefSeq lists it as uncharacterized. The transcript is spliced from 3 exons. The record is from RefSeq and is a predicted model, not a curated record. NCBI's taxonomy places the organism in Eukaryota, Metazoa, Chordata, Mammalia, Carnivora, Otariidae.